This 709-nucleotide ribosomal RNA is filed under the name Brachyponera luteipes. Its description in RNAcentral is "partial large subunit ribosomal RNA". The stretch from base 508 to 709 matches the Rfam family "Eukaryotic large subunit ribosomal RNA", at positions 665 to 830 of the family's 3401-position model. The record is from RNAcentral. Lineage: Eukaryota; Metazoa; Arthropoda; Insecta; Hymenoptera; Formicidae.
GUUCAGGGGUAAACCUAAGAAACCCAAAAGAUCGAACGGGGAGAUUCAUCGUCAGCGGCGCUGGCUUCGCGUCGGUGGGCGAUGUCCGCGCGGUUUCUCGCGCGGGCACGCUACCGUGCGCGCAUGACCGGCGUCGUCGUCGUGCACUUCUCCCCUAGUAGAACGUCGCGACCCGCUGGGUGUCGGUCUACGGCCCGGGUGUGGUGACUGUCGCGUCGCCGGUAAAACGGCACGCGGCAAACCCUCGGACGCCCGGCCGGCUGCCCGGCGGUACUCGCACGGUAUCAGGCCGCACAGUUUAACGCUCUGCGUCAGGCCCGUCGCAAGCGCGCGCCACGGUCGCUCGGAGGUACGGACCCAGCGCCGUCCCCGGCCCUGGCCCGCUGUUGGCCGACGGUGAUCCUUUGACAGGCCUUACGGGGCGAGGUGCGCUCGCGCACCUCCGCCCCAAUACCGGUCGGCGACGCUACUGCUUUGGGUACUCUUAGGACCCGUCUUGAAACACGGACCAAGGAGUCUAACAUGUGCGCGAGUCAUUGGGACUAGCAAAACCCAAAGGCGCAAUGAAAGUGAAGGUCGGCCUCGGCGCCGACCGAGGGAGGAUGGGCCGCGUCGCGAUGCGGCCUCGCACUCCCGGGGCGUCUCGUUUCUCAUCGCGAGAAGAGGCGCACCAAGAGCGUACACGUUUGGGACCCGAAAGAUGGGUGAA